GACGAACGCUGGCGGCGUGCUUAACACAUGCAAGUCGAACGGAAAGGCCCUGCUUUUGUGGGGUGCUCGAGUGGCGAACGGGUGAGUAACACGUGAGUAACCUGCCCUUGACUUUGGGAAUAACUUCAGGAAACUGGGGCUAAUACCGGAUAGGAGCUCCUGCUGCAUGGUGGGGGUUGGAAAGUUUCGGCGGUUGGGGAUGGACUCGCGGCUUAUCAGCUUGUUGGUGGGGUAGUGGCUUACCAAGGCUUUGACGGGUAGCCGGCCUGAGAGGGUGACCGGCCACAUUGGGACUGAGAUACGGCCCAGACUCCUACGGGAGGCAGCAGUGGGGAAUAUUGCACAAUGGGCGGAAGCCUGAUGCAGCAACGCCGCGUGCGGGAUGACGGCCUUCGGGUUGUAAACCGCUUUCGCCUGUGACGAAGCGUGAGUGACGGUAAUGGGUAAAGAAGCACCGGCUAACUACGUG
RNAcentral lists this ribosomal RNA (469 nucleotides) under uncultured bacterium. RNAcentral's name for it is "partial 16S ribosomal RNA". It matches the Rfam family "Bacterial small subunit ribosomal RNA", at positions 28 to 507 of the family's 1533-position model. The record is from RNAcentral.